CAAAAAAAAAUUUAAUUAGCUCCUUUAUUAUUUUUUAGUCCAACUUUUUUUCAUAAUUUCAUCAAACUAUUAUCUAGCACAUAUAAUUUUUCCAUAUUUUUUAAAACUCAUUUUUCAUUUAACUCAUAUUUUCUUUUAUUUCCCAUUUAAUUUUUAUUUAUCAUUUUUAUUUUAAUCAUUUUAAAACAUUUUUCACGCCAACUUUUG
RNAcentral lists this long non-coding RNA (207 nucleotides) under Lathyrus oleraceus (garden pea). RNAcentral describes it as "Pisum sativum (pea) long non-coding RNA (PSAT_LNC019811)". The record is from RNAcentral. Lineage: Eukaryota; Viridiplantae; Streptophyta; Magnoliopsida; Fabales; Fabaceae.